AAUCUCCUACGGGGGGCAGCAGUCGAGAAUCAUCCACAAUGGGGGAAACCCUGAUGGUGCGACGCCGCGUGGGGGAAUGAAGGACUUCGGAUUGUAAACCCCUGUCAGGUGGGAGCAAAUUAAAAAGAUAGUACCACAAGAGGAAGAGACGGCUAACUCUGUGCCAGCAGCCGCGGUAAUACAGAGGUCUCAAGCGUUGUUCGGAAUCACUGGGCGUAAAGCGUGCGUAGGCUGUUUCGUGAGUCGUGUGUGAAAGGCGCGGGCUCAACCCGCGGCCGGCACUUGAUACUGCGAGACUAGAGUAG
This 305-nucleotide ribosomal RNA is filed under the name uncultured bacterium. RNAcentral describes it as "bacterial SSU rRNA". It matches the Rfam family "Bacterial small subunit ribosomal RNA", at positions 333 to 649 of the family's 1533-position model. The record is from RNAcentral.